RNAcentral lists this ribosomal RNA (237 nucleotides) under uncultured bacterium. RNAcentral describes it as "partial 16S ribosomal RNA". It matches the Rfam family "Bacterial small subunit ribosomal RNA", at positions 100 to 334 of the family's 1533-position model. The record is from RNAcentral.
CGGGACGGGUGAGUAACGCGUGGGUAACCGUGCCUUGUACAGGGGGAUAACAGUUGGAAACGGCUGCUAAUACCGCAUAAGCGCACGGCAUCGCAUGAUGCAGUGUGAAAAACUCCGGUGGUAUAAGAUGGACCCGCGUUGGAUUAGCUAGUUGGUGAGGUAACGGCCCACCAAGGCGACGAUCCAUAGCCGACCCGAGAGGGUGAACGGCCACAUUGGGACUGAGACACGGCCCAA